This 230-nucleotide ribosomal RNA is filed under the name uncultured bacterium. Its description in RNAcentral is "partial 16S ribosomal RNA". It matches the Rfam family "Bacterial small subunit ribosomal RNA", at positions 118 to 347 of the family's 1533-position model. The record is from RNAcentral.
UGAGGAACAUGACCUUCGGCGGGGGAUAGCCGGCCCAACGGCCGGGUAAUACCGCGUACGACCACAUGGGGACAUCCCCGAGUGGUGAAAGCAGCAAUGCGCCGAUGGAGUGCCUCGCGGCCUAUCAGCUAGUUGGUGAGGUAACGGCUCACCAAGGCGACGACGGGUAGCUGGUCUGAGAGGAUGGCCAGCCACAUUGGGACUGCGACACGGCCCAGACUCCUAGGGAG